UUGUAAUGUAGUUUAUUUAAAAUAUUUGUUUUACACACAUAGGAACUCAAGUUUGAGCUUUACUAA
RNAcentral lists this transfer RNA (66 nucleotides) under Rodentolepis nana. RNAcentral's name for it is "tRNA-Val". Lineage: Eukaryota; Metazoa; Platyhelminthes; Cestoda; Cyclophyllidea; Hymenolepididae. The record is from RNAcentral.